UUCACUUAGACACCUCAAUAGAAGGAUUUUCAUUUUAAACACCUAACAUAGGGUCUCGGUGUGUCACUUCAACACUUUUUACACAGCUGGAAUGUCACAUGAUUUUCACUGAUUCAAGGCGCGUAGGGACCUAUAUUUCUUCUGAUGUGGCGUCCCCAAAACGGUAAUAUUAUUCCACAUCAUCUAUUUAUAUUUAUUUUUUUCUCCAAUUGUACCCUAAUUAAGACCCCAAUUUUUUCAUUCUUUUCCAAUUUCUCUCUUCUUCAGCCUUUCUUUAAUUCUUGUCCCUUAAUUCUUUCAUGUCGAGCUUCUCCAAUUCUUCCAUGGCAUCUGUGGAUGAAGGUCGAUAUUGUAGGUGUGGUAAUGAAGCACUAUUAAAGACUUCAUGGACCCAAUUAAAUCCAGGGAGUAGAUUUUUACUUGUAGAAUUUCAAAGAAAAUGGGUGGCUGUGACUAUUUUCUUUGGUAUGAAGAUCGACACCCUCCUCAAGCAAACAGGGUAAUGUGGGGAUUGUUGAAGAAAGUCAAUGCUUUUGAUGAAAAAUUAAAGCAAGCAAGACAUAUAUUUAUUGUUGGUGUCGUUGCUACUGAGUUGGUGAUGUUUGGAAUAUGAAAAUUGAAGCCUAAUUGUUAGUGUUCUUGAGGUGUAGUAGUAUUUGGUGUUCAGUCUAGUAGUAUUUUGAUGUUGUUAUUGCUGUAAAUUUUCGAUGUAAAUGUGCAUUUUGGAUUCAAUGAAAUUCUAUGUUGUUGUUGCAGUAAAAUUGGUUUUUUGGCUA
Molecule: long non-coding RNA, 776 nt
Organism: Solanum tuberosum (potato)
Lineage: Eukaryota; Viridiplantae; Streptophyta; Magnoliopsida; Solanales; Solanaceae
Exons: 2
Source: RefSeq, a predicted model, not a curated record